Molecule: ribosomal RNA, 253 nt
Filed under: uncultured bacterium
Lineage: Bacteria
Description: partial 16S ribosomal RNA
Rfam family: Bacterial small subunit ribosomal RNA
Source: RNAcentral
UACGGAGGGUGCGAGCGUUAUCCGGAUUCACUGGGUUUAAAGGGUGCGUAGGUGGGUCUGUAAGUCAGUGGUGAAAUCUCCGGGCUUAACCUGGAAACUGCCAUUGAUACUAUAGGUCUUGAAUUUUCUGGAGGUAAGCGGAAUAUGUCAUGUAGCGGUGAAAUGCUUAGAUAUGACAUAGAACACCAAUUGCGAAGGCAGCUUGGCUACAGGAAUAUUGACACUGAGGCACGAAAGCGUGGGAUCAAACAGG